This 440-nucleotide ribosomal RNA is filed under the name uncultured bacterium. RNAcentral describes it as "partial 16S ribosomal RNA". It matches the Rfam family "Bacterial small subunit ribosomal RNA", at positions 338 to 795 of the family's 1533-position model. The record is from RNAcentral.
CCUACGGGAGGCAGCAGUGGGGAAUAUUGCACAAUGGGGGAAACCCUGAUGCAGCGACGCCGCGUGAGUGAAGAAGUAUUUCGGUAUGUAAAGCUCUAUCAGCAGGGAAGAAAAUGACGGUACCUGAUUAAGAAGCCCCGGCUAACUACGUGCCAGCAGCCGCGGUAAUACGUAGGGGGCAAGCGUUAUCCGGAUUUACUGGGUGUAAAGGGAGCGUAGACGGUGAUGCAAGUCAGAAGUGAAAGCCCGGGGCUCAACUCCGGGACUGCUUUUGAAACUGUGUGACUGGAGUGCAGGAGAGGUAAGCGGAAUUCCUGGUGUAGCGGUGAAAUGCGUAGAUAUAUGGAAGAACACCAGUGGCGAAGGCGAGAACUUAGGCUAUCACUGACGCUUAGGCUCGAAAGUGUGGGGAGCAAAUAGGAUUAGAUACCCUAGUAGUC